Cannabis sativa is the source of this 735-nucleotide long non-coding RNA. RefSeq lists it as uncharacterized. NCBI's taxonomy places the organism in Eukaryota, Viridiplantae, Streptophyta, Magnoliopsida, Rosales, Cannabaceae. The record is from RefSeq and is a predicted model, not a curated record. The transcript has 3 exons.
UGUUUUAUUUGCACGUAUAAACUUUACUAUUGCUGAGCCUGACUAAUCUUUCAUUUAUAUUUUAACAGGAAGUUCGUGGUAGUACCAAAGUCCCUGAGUCAGAUAUAGUUCAAGCAUGCAGAAAAUUUAGUAUUUGAGAUUUUUCUUAAUAAAUAAAAUAUAAAGAUCAAGCACUUUUCAUAUGCGUUCUUGGAAUUUUAUUCACUUUUUUUUUAUAUGCAUACCACACAAUUAUCAUUCCAGUGGAUGGUUUUUGAAGGAAUAAUUCUUGUCUAAUUCCCAUUAUAUCUUUGUUGGUUCAGCUUCUGGAAGAGAGGCAGAGCAUAAACGUUUUCCGAUUUCUGCAAGCAAUUAACAGGAGAUCUGACAUUACGGAAGUCUGUGUGGAUGGAAUACAUCACUUUCUUAAAGUCAUUGCUGGCAUCACAUCCAUAGGAAGAGUCAUUACGAAUGAUUGAUGUAUCAAAAAGCCAUUGUCACUCCUGUGCAUCACAUUAAACAAAUUUGGAGGGACUAUGAGAAUUUUGAAAAUUCGGUUAGUCGACAACUGGUAAUUUGUUGGUUUCUAUUGGUUGGUACUUUUGUUUAGCAUUGGUUGGCAAAUGGCAUCUUUAAUUAGACAUAUGAUUUAUAUCUUGGUAGUUUUAGCUGUAUAAUGGAGGCAAGUACAAUAUUUAAGGUUCGAUCUUAUGCCCAAAGCCUAGAUCUGAUAUUUACCUAAGUAUUCAUUGUGUA